RNAcentral lists this ribosomal RNA (291 nucleotides) under uncultured bacterium. RNAcentral describes it as "partial 16S ribosomal RNA". It matches the Rfam family "Bacterial small subunit ribosomal RNA", at positions 506 to 796 of the family's 1533-position model. The record is from RNAcentral.
UGCCAGCAGCCGCGGUAAUACGUAGGGGGCAAGCGUUAUCCGGAUUUACUGGGUGUAAAGGGUGCGUAGGCGGCAAAGUAAGUCAGAUGUGAAAGCCCGAAGCUCAACUUCGGGACUGCAUUUGAAACUGCUUAGCUAGAGUGCAGGAGAGGAAAGUGGAAUUCCUAGUGUAGCGGUGAAAUGCGUAGAUAUUAGGAGGAACACCAGUGGCGAAGGCGACUUUCUGGACUGUAACUGACGCUGAGGCACGAAAGCGUGGGGAGCGAACAGGAUUAGAAACCCCCGUAGUCC